Molecule: RNA transcript, 2597 nt
Organism: Theobroma cacao (cacao)
Lineage: Eukaryota; Viridiplantae; Streptophyta; Magnoliopsida; Malvales; Malvaceae
Gene name: pentatricopeptide repeat-containing protein At3g24000, mitochondrial
Source: RefSeq, a predicted model, not a curated record
AGUAUUAUCAAGGACAAAAAUAUGGGGAUUUCCCCAUUAGAAAAACACAAAAUGGGAAUCUCAAUGUUAUUAGACCAAAACCUUUCAUAGAUUUACUGCAAAUUUACCUCGGAUAAGUAACAUGUACGGAACACGAACAAUUCUUAUAAAGCCGGAGAUGGUGUCUCAGUGUCACGAUGAAGUUAACUUCCUCUUCUCGCCAGCUCUGCUCCUUUCUUAAAUUCUCAAAACCAACCAUCCAUCACCUUUCCCGCUCGCUAACUACCCAAAAUGCUCAUAACCCACGAAACAAUCCACUCUCUUGCCAGACCCAAAUCUUCAAUUACAAAGAAAACCAAUCAAAUUCACUUCAUUUGGAGUUCUUUUCUCAGUUUCAACAAGAUGGGUCUUUCUCAAGCCCUUUCACUUUCAACAAAAUCAUAUCUGUUUGUGCCAAAUCAGCUUCUCUUAGUACCGGCAUUCAACUUCAUUCAACGGUUAUCAAAAUGGGUUUCACUUCAAAUCUCUAUAUUUGCAGCGGGCUUAUUUUCAUGUAUGGUAAAAAUGGUGAAAUUUUUAGUGCUCAAAACCUGUUUGAUGAAUUGCCUGAAAGAAAUGCGGUUUGUUGGAACUCUUUAAUUUCUGGUUAUAUUCAUGUUAAUUCCCCGGAAAUUGCUGUUAAACAUUUUAUAAAAAUGUUAAGAACUGGAAUAAAGGUUACCCCUUUUACUAUUUCAGAUGUUUUAGUUGGUUGCUCGCUGUUGGAAAAAGAAGAGCUUGGGGCUCAAGUUCAUUGCUUCUGUCUGAAAGUUGGGUUUUUUUAUAAUGUUGUUAUAGGAACAGGGUUGCUUGAUAUGUACUCGAAGUGUUGGAAUAUUGAGAAUUCGAGGCGGGUUUUUGAUAAAAUGAUUGACAAAAAUGUAAUUACUUGGACAGCUAUGGUAUCAGGGUGCGCACAGAAUGGAUUGCCUAAUGAGGCAAUGGCUUUAGUAAAGGAGAUGUUGGGUUUGGGGCUCAGGUUGAACCAUGUGACGUAUAAUAGCUUAUUGAGUUCGUUUUUGAGUCCAGAUUAUUUGGAUUGUUGUAGACAAGUUCAUUGUCGGAUAAUUCAGGAUGGUUUGGAAAGUAAUGUGUAUAUUGCAGUUACCCUUUUGACUGUGUAUUCGAAAUGUAGUUGUAGUUUGGAGGAUUUUCAAAAGUUGUGUGAAGGUGUAUCUUGGUGGGAUCAAGUCUCAUGGAAUGCAGUCAUUGCUGGUUUCUGUAACUUAAGUUAUGAUGACAAAGCUAUGAAAUGUUUUGUGGAAAUGAGGCAGGCAGGGAUUAAUAUAGACUUUUUUACAUUUACAAGCAUGUUAGGAGCAAUAGGGAAUAGUUCAGCCCUUGAAGGGGGAAAGCAAAUGCAUGCUCUUAUUUUGAAAACUGGGAAUGCUUUGAAUCCCUAUGUGCAAAAUGGGCUUGUUUCUAUGUAUGCUAGAUGUGGUGUGAUCAAUGAUUCAAAAAUGGUGUUCUCAUUGAUGGAAGAACAUGACGUGAUCUCAUGGAACUCGCUGCUAUCAGGAUGCGCUCAUCACGGAUAUGGUAGAGAGGCUCUGGAGUUGUUUGAACAGAUGAGAAAGACAGAGAUUACACCCGAUAGCACCACGUUCCUUGCAGUACUAUCUGCUUGCAGCCAUGUUGGAUUUCUUGACAAAGGACUUGAAUACUUUGAGUUGAUGAAAAAUGAUGCCUUGCUUGAACUGCCUGGAGUGGAGCACUAUGCUGCUGUUAUUAAUCUUUUUGGUAGGGCAGCGUAUCUGAAUGAAGCAGAAGCCUUUAUUAAUAGCAUGCCAAUCGAGCCAGGACCAUCUGUUUACAAAGCUCUUCUAAGUGCUUGUGAGGUUUAUGGAAAUAUAGAAAUUGCUACACGUUCAGCAAAUAGGCUUCUAGAGCUGUGGCCUAAUGAUCCUGCAACAUAUGUGCUGCUAUCAAAAGUACUGAAAAUGGGGAAUGACUGGGAUGAUGCAGCAGGUGUGUGUAAGCUAAUGUCGGAUAGAGGAGUGAGGAAGAAUCCAGGCUGUAGUUGGAUUUGAGUUAUCGAAUGACUCAGUCUCUAUUGCAAUGUGAAACUGUCAACCAUCAUCGAGAUAGAAGAAAAUCAGCUUUAUCUUGGUGUUCUCUCAAAAGGAUGGAAGAGAGAAUUUAGACUAUCCUUUCAUUGAAGACACUCUUUUCCCAAGUCUGGAUUUUCAAAUCACUUGUAACUGUUUUUGGUGAUGCAUAGCCAUAUAUUUAUGAAAGGAUAACAAGACCUAAAUUUUGCAGCCAGCUUAGUUGUAUUAUGCUGAGAAUGUGCAUGGAACUGCAUCAUCAUUUCAGCUAGUGGAAGCACCAUAUGUUUGCAAAGGUUAUUGUCAAAUUCCUGCCCCAUUGGACAAGAGGCCAAAGAAGAGGCAUCUCAGUACUUCAUCGAAUUAUGUGGCAAUUGUUUACCGUCCAUGCAAAAACACCGGAGAGUCAUGCUCCAGUAAUGUUGUCUCUUAUAUGUCUCUCUUUGGGUUGACAUCUAGAACGCAAAACUGAUUGUGGAAGACUUUCAAGACGGGAAAGAACACGAAAUUCAAUCAGUCAGCAAUUGGAGA